Caenorhabditis elegans is the source of this 413-nucleotide non-coding RNA. The record is from Ensembl. NCBI's taxonomy places the organism in Eukaryota, Metazoa, Nematoda, Chromadorea, Rhabditida, Rhabditidae.
AAACUUGAAAUCUUUGACCCAUGAAGGUUUACUUUGAAUUAAGCUAAUCAACGUUGAAUUUUCACCAGAACAAUCAUUUUGAGAUUUCAAAGUAUGCUAAUCAAGAGUUACAGUUUGUGUAGUUUGAGAAAAAUAAACGAAGAAAAAAGUCUCGAGUGUAUACUUCAAUUUGUCUUAAUUAGGUGAUUAGACCUCGGGAGAAACAUGGUUGACAUCCGCCAGGCAGGCGGAGAUCAGUUAACUACUCCUUAUCACUCCUCCUCAAAGUUCAAACGGUUUGAUUGAUCACCUUGUCGUCGAGCAUUUCUGUCACCCAAUUAUCAACUGCUAUCAUCGACAAUCAGAGACAGUAAUCAUUUUCAAAAACACGACAAUAUCAUAAAGGGACGGAAAUGUUGUCUAGGCAGUUGUUG